Molecule: long non-coding RNA, 1343 nt
Organism: Armigeres subalbatus
Lineage: Eukaryota; Metazoa; Arthropoda; Insecta; Diptera; Culicidae
Exons: 2
Source: RefSeq, a predicted model, not a curated record
UUUCUACCGAAUGCUCUGUCCAAGUCGCAGCAGAGUCUCAGCCAAGCCGGCUGCAGCAGUUCCAGCUCUAGUUCCUGUCUCGAUAGCACUUCCUCGCAGCUGCUGAAGACCACCAAACUGCUGGCCAAUUUGGACUGGUGCACGGAUGUGGUAGGCAAACAGCAGAAGAAUGGUGGCGGGAGCAGUGGAAGCAGCAGCAGCACCAUCGGGGAUGGCAAUGGGAAUUCCGGCAGUGCCGUUCGGAGUAUCGGUAGCGUGGAGAAUGUGUCAAUCAAGUAAUUCGUGCCAGUCACAUUUAGUUACACACCCCCGCAGGGUAGUUUUAAAUCCAUUUGGAAUAGCAGCAGUGCCGGCACCGCGACCAACAACUCCAGCAAACACCAUCACCUGAUUGCAUCUUCUAGUCAAGCCUCUGGUAAGCUCCUGGGAAGCAGUGCUAAUGGCGGCAGUUUGAACAUGAACGGUGGCGGCGGUUUCGGUGUCCACACCGUGGUGCUCUCGGAUCUGGACUCGAGCGACGAUAAUCAUCUGAGCUUCUUAGAACCGAUAAUCACAAUAAUCCUCUGAGCAAAAAUGGAUCCGAAAUAUUCGACUACGAUUGUGAUUACGAUAACGAAGAGGAGUUCAACUAUCUGGCCCGCGCUGCAACUGCCGUAGCAGCAUCGACCAGUGCCACCAGCUCUUGCACUCCCGGUGGGACAAAUGCGGCUGUUUCUGCUGGAGUUCGCAGCGGUAGCAGCAAAAAUCGUGUUUCGUUCGAUGCCAACAUAAGUGAUUUCCAGCAAGUUCCUCUUAUUGGAGACUUCAAUAUGGAUGGAAGCGGCCUGCUGAAAACCCGAAGGUCCAACAGUCUUACCACGACGGCGAGCAGUGCAUGCGGACUUUCGGUUGGCGAGCUGCAUCAGCAAAAGCAUAACAACGAAUAUUUAUCAGCGGAAAAUCUAACUAACCUGCAGCUUCUGCAGAAUAAACCGAGGAAUUUCUCCUAAACCAUGGACAGUUCUCGUUCGUCGGUACAGUGUGCUACUGCGAAUGAAAUGAUUAAUGGCUGGCUACCAGGGCCUGACACAAGCUCCCUAAAUUUCUGAGGACCAUUCCACCUAAAUUUCCGGUGUCACCGUACAACCAUAGUUCCCACCGGGGUUGGUUACCCGAGGCUCCCUAAGGUUGCUCGUACCCCGGCCAGCACCACGGGAGGUAUAGGGAUAGGCGUUGCUGAGAAAGAGGCUGAGAACCGCGAGAUGGAGUCUAUUUUAUUCCUUCAGGUACGCAAAGCACCAACGGUACAAUGGUUUUAAUUUAUAAUUAAAUUUUCAAUUAUAAUAUAAAAUAAUCUGUAUAAA